UUUUUCAAAAUAUUUUAUUAAUGGUUUUUAUAAAAAGGAGGAGUAAAAUUUAAUAUUUUAUUCCAGUUUGAUAUAUUGGAAAAAAAUAAAAAUAUUUGUUUAAAUAUUUUCCUGGUCAUCGGGGUGGGAAAAUAUCUGUUGAUCGUGCAAUUAUCUGUUACGAGAUUUAAUUGAUCUAUUUGUAUACGAUUAUGUUUGUGCGUGCAUUUAUUCCUGCUUUUGAUAUUAUUAUACAGUUUUAUUAAAAUUUAUUAUCCUCUUAAAUGGAUAUUUAUUUUUGUAAAAAUACAAAGAUAAUUUCAAAAAUUAUUUUUAAUUGCUCGAUAGUGAUCACAAAUAUUUUUAGGAGUUUGUAAAAUAUUAAAAAUCUUAUUUCUAUAAGGACAUGAUUUUUAAUUAGUUUCUGAACGCAGCUAACUUCUAAAUUUUGUAUAAAUUCCGAAAAUGCUCUAUAAAUCCGGAAACUUUUAUUUGAUUAGUUUUAUAAUAUUCCGGGGUUUAUAAAAAUAUUUUGGUAGUUGUUGGGAGAAAUUUUAUUGCAAGUAAUCUCCGUAAAUUAGUUGAAAGCGGGUAGAAGUUAAUUGCUUACUCAGUUUAAUAAAAUAGUUGGCAGCUUAAAAUUUAUCCGCGUGUCUCCACACUUCUCUUCCUUCAGCCACGUAUACACCCCUGUGAACCCUUUUCCUUUUAUUCCCUGUGAAACCUCAUCUCUCUCGUUAAAUCACAGUAAUCGGUUCUCUCGCAAAUAUCUCCCCAAUCUCACGCCAUUCCUUCGGUCUCUCGCUACCAUCUCCCUAUACACUUCCCUCCAUCUCUCGCCUUUGUACGUACGGUCGCCAUAUUCCAUCGGGAUUCUCUGCCGCCGCUUCCUUUUCCGGCCAGAACCAACACCGCCUAUUUCUUCCUCUUCCGGCGACCACCAUAGCCCUGCACCAGUUAUAAAUCAGUGGUUAACUCCGUCUGCGUCGACAACUGAAGUACCGUGUUACUCUUGGAAAAUCAACCAAGACUUGUAUAUCAAGAACAUUCAGAAGUAGUUGAAUAGCUUUGCGAACUGAAUCAGGUAUAGUUCCUUAAGACGAAGCUGUGCUGUGAGAUAGCCCGGUAGAAUUAAAUCGGUAUGAACAUCAGCAGAACUGAGGCAAUGUUAAAGAUGAUUCAUCUGUCUAGGCUGAGCGUAAGAGUAAUGCUAGGCAAGGAUUCCAAGUGAUAAGUUGUGACUGAAUGACUAGGUAAAGUAUUCAGGAAGAUGUCUGCGAGAUUAGUGGUAAUUAGAGUUGGCUUAAUUUUGCUUCAAAUGUAAAAUAAAUUUAUUAAAUAUUAUCAGCUACUCUGAUAAUUUAGAUUGGGUUGUAAUAAGAUUUAUUAGUUUUGAUUCUGAUUUCAAUACUAUAGCCUGUUUGCGAUCCUGUUUAAAGGGGGUUAAACUUUGUUCUUUUAAAUCUUUUAUUAAAACUUUCAGGUUUUAAAUUCUUUGAUUUAUAUUAGCUUUUCAAAAAUACAGGUUUUCAAAACUGUAAAUCAUUUUUUUUUUAUAUCCAGGUUUUGAAAUACUUGUUUUUACUUUCUCUCAAAGAUACAAGUUUUAAAUUGUUUUUUUUUUAGUGGCUCAAAAAUACAGGUUUUAAAUUAUUUUUAUUUACACGUGGCACCAAAUCCAGACCCCCGGAUUUGAGGGCUGUCACAAGGAAUACUAAGAUCAUAAUAUAUAUCAAAUAGAUAUGUUUAAAUAUGUGGUCGGGAAGUAAAAUAAUAUUAAUUAAAUUUUAUAUAUUUAUUUUUGAAUGUUCCCACACUCGGAUAAAAAUUUGUGAAAUUUAAUACUUCUGAUAAUAUAUUUAGAUUUAAAAAUUUAUUAAAUUUAUUUUAAUUAAAAAAAGAAAAUAACUAUAAAAUUUUAAAAUAUAUAAUAAAUAAGAAAUAUAUAACUUUUUCAAUAUCAAAAUAUUAUUGAGUCGUGCAACACCUAACUCUACAUUUCAGGUGGCAAUUUCGGGUAACGGGUCGUGUUCGUGUCAGCAACCGGGUCGAUUUUAAAUCAAGCUAAAAUCACUUAUAAUUGAAUAAAACUGAAAAUUAAAAUUAUUAAAAAUGAAAUUUCGGGUCACUUCAGUUCCAUUUCGGGUCAAUCGGGUUAUUUUCGUGUUACUUUUGGGCUUUCUGUCUCAGUAAAUCGGGUUUCGGAUCGUGUCUGAGAUUGCCGCAUUGCAUUAGUAUGAUAUUGUCCGCUCUAGGCCCUGGACAAGCCAAGGGUUUUAUAUCAAAUGGGCCACUCGUUCUACUCAAAAAUCUCACCUAGACCACCCAUUAAAAAACCAUAUCAUUUAGACCACUGAAUUGACUAUAUAUAUCAUUAUCUUUGAUAAUGUUAUGGUAAUUGACAUAAAACGUUAAGUUCUUAAACUUUCUAUCUCAAUUCAAAGUUGACGUGUUCAUCAACGUUGCUUCCGGCAUGCAUCAGACAUGGUGUCUAGAAAAAAAAAGAUAAACUAAAUAGAUUAAUCGGGCCAACCUAAUAAAAACAUGUAAGUAGAAUAAAAACCCUAAUUAAACUAUUCCUUCGGGAGAAAAUGCAUUUGGAGGUCAUAAAUUCGACCUCUCAGGUUUGAAUUAGGACAAAAAGUUUAAAAACUUAUCGAUCUGCGUCAAUUACCUUGACAUCAUCGAACGGAAUGAUAUAUAUACUCAAUUUAGUGGUUUAAAUGAUAUGAUUUUUUAAUGAGUGGUCUAGGUGAGAUUUUGGGACAGAAUGAGUGGCACAUUUGAUAUAAAACCCGACAAGCCAGUACGUAUUUGUUUCCGGCCCUUCCUAAAAGACCUCAUAGUAAUAGAGUUUUUUGACGGCUUAUAGUUAAGACAAAUUUUUUUUAUCUUUAACAGGGGACUUGGGUUGAAACCAUUCAACAAAUAUUAACUAAAAUGCUAGAAUUUCACAAAUUUUUAUUUGAUUAUGAUGAUAUUAAAAUUUUGUAUAAAAUUUAAUAAAUAUUAUUUCUACGUAUAUUUAGAGAUUUAUUUAAUAUCAAUUAUAAUUUUGGUGGUUCAUAUUAUAAUCAGAUGAAAAAUAAUUUGUGACUAACAACACGCAUCACUAAUAUAUUUUAGGGUAAAGUAAUAAUCAACUAACACCAUUUCACCCUUUCAAGUUCUCCUCGAUCCCAAAGUAUUCGUGGACAUUGUUUCAAGGUUGCUACCGCCCCACUCCGCUGUAGAAACUUUUUCUCUCCGCUGAUUUUAAAAUCCAGGUAAACUGUUUCCACAAUCCUUUCUGCAACUUGUUCGUUCUUUCAUAUGUCUGUUCUAUAUCAUUCAAAAUCAUCCACAUAUCCCUCCGUCCAAACUUUCAACAUUUGACUUUCAAACUCCCUGCAAAUAUAUCCGUAUCCGAUUCGAUUCAAACCGAAAUUUACACCGUUCAAUUAACAUAAACCAAACCAAACCAAUUUGAUCAAGUACCCCGGAGGUGUUUGAUGGAAUAACGGAGAGGAAUGAUGUUUGCUGUAUGGCAAUCCAUCUCUAGCCAAGUCAACCAAGCUCGUCCAAAUCAGGAGGGGAGUAGAAUCAAAUUCAUAUAGUGCACAGUAGCGUGCGGAGAUGACUCAUGGCAGGGGGAGAUGCAGUGAAGGGGGAACUCUCUCUUACAGGGUCAAAGAACGACUACAGCAGAUGUCCUGUUUAACUCUCUGAAGGGUCAGAUACAACAGUAAGAAGAGGGAUGAGAAGGGAAUAGAGUGGAUCUAGAGCUUGGGACGUUUUAUUUCGGACAUUAAGUGUUAUUGUCUAAACUUCCGGAGACAUUUUCAUGUCUUUCGGUUAGAUAAUAAGCUUUUUGGAUGAAAGAAACUCCUCGGAGUAGCGGCGUUUUCUCGAUACGAGCAAGUGCAUUUCUGUCAAAAAAAAAAAAAAAACUAACACCAUUUUAAUAUCCAAACCUGGCAUGACUUGAAACCGAAGUCACGCCCUUCUUCUUUUCUA
Long non-coding RNA from Daucus carota subsp. sativus, 3975 nucleotides. RefSeq lists it as uncharacterized. The record is from RefSeq and is a predicted model, not a curated record. Lineage: Eukaryota; Viridiplantae; Streptophyta; Magnoliopsida; Apiales; Apiaceae. The transcript is spliced from 4 exons.